Molecule: long non-coding RNA, 382 nt
Organism: Coturnix japonica (Japanese quail)
Lineage: Eukaryota; Metazoa; Chordata; Aves; Galliformes; Phasianidae
Source: Ensembl
GCAUCUUUCAAUAUUUCUUGGUGCUUCAUAAACAAAAAAUGCUCCUUUUUUUUUAGGACUCCAUUGUCCUUCUGCUGGUGUGGUAUUUGGAAACCACCCGCCAUGGAUGUACAGUGUGAUGGAAGAGGAGUAGAUGGGAUUUCCUGCUUUCCGUGUCAAGGAAUCAAGAGCAGCUUUGGCAGCAGGGCCAGUAUUGGGCUGAAACAAAAGAGGUUUGAUUUACAACUACCAUAUUAUUUUGACAGCUUUAUAAGGAGAAAAAAAAAAAAAGAAAAAAAAAAAGAAGGGGUAGUACUGUAAUAAUAUCAUAUUUUAACUGUACAUUAACUUCUAUGAGGUUUUAUCUGGAAGCACCUUUCCAUGUGAUAGAGAGCAUUUCUAG